GCGCCGUUAGCUCAACUAGGCAGAGCAGAGCACUCUUAAUGCUAAGGUUGAAGGUUCGAUUCCUUCACGGCGCACUA
RNAcentral lists this transfer RNA (77 nucleotides) under Candidatus Poribacteria bacterium. Its description in RNAcentral is "tRNA-Lys". It matches the Rfam family "tRNA". Rfam says of the family: Transfer RNA (tRNA) molecules are approximately 80 nucleotides in length. Their secondary structure includes four short double-helical elements and three loops (D, anti-codon, and T loops). Further hydrogen bonds mediate the characteristic L-shaped molecular structure. tRNAs have two regions of fundamental functional importance: the anti-codon, which is responsible for specific mRNA codon recognition, and the 3' end, to which the tRNAs corresponding amino acid is attached (by aminoacyl-tRNA synthetases). tRNAs cope with the degeneracy of the genetic code in two manners: having more than one tRNA (with a specific anti-codon) for a particular amino acid; and 'wobble' base-pairing, i.e. permitting non-standard base-pairing at the 3rd anti-codon position. The record is from RNAcentral. Lineage: Bacteria; Candidatus Poribacteria.